GAGCGGAUGAAGGGAGCUUGCUCCUGGAUUCAGCGGCGGACGGGUGAGUAAUGCCUAGGAAUCUGCCUGGUAGUGGGGGAUAACGUCCGGAAACGGGCGCUAAUACCGCAUACGUCCUGAGGGAGAAAGUGGGGGGUCUUCGGACCUCACGCUAUCAGAUGAGCCUAGGUCGGAUUAGCUAGUUGGUGGGGUAAAGGCCUACCAAGGCGACGAUCCGUAACUGGUCUGAGAGGAUGAUCAGUCACACUGGAACUGAGACACGGUCCAGACUCCUACGGGAGGCAGCAGUGGGGAAUAUUGGACAAUGGGCGAAAGCCUGAUCCAGCCAUGCCGCGUGUGUGAAGAAGGUCUUCGGAUUGUAAAGCACUUUAAGUUGGGAGGAAGGGCAGUAAGUUAAUACCUUGCUGUUUUGACGUUACCAACAGAAUAAGCACCGGCUAACUUCGUGCCAGCAGCCGCGGUAAUACGAAGGGUGCAAGCGUUAAUCGGAAUUACUGGGCGUAAAGCGCGCGUAGGUGGUUCAGCAAGUUGGAUGUGAAAUCCCCGGGCUCAACCUGGGAACUGCAUCCAAAACUACUGAGCUAGAGUACGGUAGAGGGUGGUGGAAUUUCCUGUGUAGCGGUGAAAUGCGUAGAUAUAGGAAGGAACACCAGUGGCGAAGGCGACCACCUGGACUGAUACUGACACUGAGGUGCGAAAGCGUGGGGAGCAAACAGGAUUAGAUACCCUGGUAGUCCACGCCGUAAACGAUGUCGACUAGCCGUUGGGAUCCUUG
RNAcentral lists this ribosomal RNA (775 nucleotides) under Pseudomonas aeruginosa. RNAcentral describes it as "bacterial SSU rRNA". It matches the Rfam family "Bacterial small subunit ribosomal RNA", at positions 64 to 834 of the family's 1533-position model. The record is from RNAcentral. Lineage: Bacteria; Pseudomonadati; Pseudomonadota; Gammaproteobacteria; Pseudomonadales; Pseudomonadaceae.